AUUGAACGCUGGCGGCAGGCCUAACACAUGCAAGUCGAGCGCGAAAAUUCCUUCGGGGAUGAGUAGAGCGGCGGACGGGUGAGUAACGCGUAGGAAUCUGCCCGGUAGUGGGGGACAACAGUCGGAAACGACUGCUAAUACCGCAUACGCCCUAAGGGGGAAAGCAGGGGAUCUUCGGACCUUGCGCUAUCGGAUGAGCCUGCGUCGGAUUAGCUUGUUGGUGGGGUAAUGGCCCACCAAGGCGACGAUCCGUAGCUGGUCUGAGAGGAUGAUCAGCCACACUGGGACUGAGACACGGCCCAGACUCCUACGGGAGGCAGCAGUGGGGAAUAUUGGACAAUGGGGGAAACCCUGAUCCAGCCAUGCCGCGUGUGUGAAGAAGGCCUUCGGGUUGUAAAGCACUUUCAGUAGGGAGGAAAAGUUGAUGGCUAAUACCCGUCAGCCCUGACGUUACCUACAGAAGAAGCACCGGCAAACUCCGUGCCAGCAGCCGCGGUAAUACGGAGGGUGCGAGCGUUAAUCGGAAUUACUGGGCGUAAAGCGCGCGUAGGCGGUUUGAUAAGCUGGAUGUGAAAGCCCUGGGCUCAACCUGGGAACUGCAUCCAGAACUGUCUGACUAGAGUACAGUAGAGGUGAGUGGAAUUUCCUGUGUAGCGGUGAAAUGCGUAGAUAUAGGAAGGAACAUCAGUGGCGAAGGCGGCUCACUGGACUGAUACUGA
RNAcentral lists this ribosomal RNA (719 nucleotides) under Porticoccus sp. RNAcentral's name for it is "bacterial SSU rRNA". It matches the Rfam family "Bacterial small subunit ribosomal RNA", at positions 28 to 743 of the family's 1533-position model. The record is from RNAcentral. Lineage: Bacteria; Pseudomonadati; Pseudomonadota; Gammaproteobacteria; Cellvibrionales; Porticoccaceae.